This 69-nucleotide transfer RNA is filed under the name Microcaecilia unicolor. It matches the Rfam family "tRNA". From Rfam's summary of the family: Transfer RNA (tRNA) molecules are approximately 80 nucleotides in length. Their secondary structure includes four short double-helical elements and three loops (D, anti-codon, and T loops). Lineage: Eukaryota; Metazoa; Chordata; Amphibia; Gymnophiona; Siphonopidae. The record is from Rfam by way of RNAcentral.
AUUUUUAUAGUUGAAUUACAACGGUGGUUUUUCAUAUCAUUAGUUUUGGUUAAAGUCCAAAUGAGAAUU